AAAUGACUUCCACAGGAUUGCACCACAAAAGGAAGGAGUGUGUCAGAUGUGCAUUCAGCCAGUGUUGUAGCCAACACAAGGUCAAACGGGACAUUGUGUACGCAGCUAACCAACUGACAGUCGGGACAGUCCAGGAUGCCGUUACACCCCAAGGCACUGUCUUGCUAAAUGAACUAGUGCACACACAGACAGGUGCACACACACACAGACACACACACACACGGGUGAUCAUACAGGAGCCGUCUGUCUGUAAAAUUUCCAUUAUUUGUCAAAGACAUGAGCGGACGAUAACAGAUAAAAUAAUAGGUCGUGUAAAUCAAGGUGGAGUGUGUAUUUUAGAAAACAUGAGCCACUGAGUGACAUAAAAACAACUCCAGUGUGCUGCCCCCUGUCUGUCUUUUCUUUUCUUUUUUUGUGCAAGUAAAUAGGACAUUCUGGUAGAAGUGUGCACCAAUGCACAUUACCAGUCGGGGGCAGUAAUGAUACACAAAAGCUGCAGAGCUUCAAUUAAUACUGAUUAAUGAAGAAUGCAGGAGGGAGAGAACAUGAAAUCUUCAACCUCUGCUGAAGAAAAAUAUUAUGGAAUGGGGAAAAAAAUUGUGUUUUUCAGCAUCAUGUGUACGGUUUUAAAUUCUGUUUUAAUAUUAAAGAACAAAAGACAAGUUUAAACAGGUCUAACACUGUGGUUAUUUCUUCAUUUAUUACUGUUCUGUACUACAGGGGUUUGUUAUAGAGAAUAUUUCCAUAAAGUAUAUGUUUUAAAUAGUUAUGCUAAAGUAUAAACUUAUUUAUUACUAAAUUCUUCAAACAUUAUCCGAGCAUAGCACCAAUUCUACGAGAUCAACUGCUCCCUCUUGUGGCCAGGACAUGAAGAGUCAUGGUAAGUUAGUGUUACGUGUGUUGGGCAGCGACUUCCUGUCAAACCACUGUCCUACUGUUGUAUGACUGAACCAAUAAAAUGAUCUAAAACCAAAUCUUUCUCAAAUGUCUGUCAAUUAUUCAUCCUUACCACCCAAUCUCCCGCAGGACGCCCGUGGAAAUUCCGGCCAAUCAGAGGAGUUCUCACCUCCACACUUCACCAGUUCUUCAAAGAACAUCCAGGACCAACAACCAGCGGUCAAUUUAGAUUGAACUAUUGAGUCGAAAACACCAAUCUGAAUGUUUUUGGCCUAAAGAAGAGAACACGGAAACUCCACAUAGCGUAGAAAGAUCGGGAAUCGAACCAGUGACCAAUAAAAACUUGACUUGAUUCAGUCAAACUCCUCCUUCAGCUCCUUUCUCCUCCUGUGUGUUGAAUAAAUCUGAUGCAGUGAUUCCCAUAAAUCAUGUGAUCUUUUUUAUUGUCACUGUACAUUCAGUGCACUGUUAGUUCUGACUCACUUCAAAAAAAAGCAUCUAUUUACACGUGGGUGGUACAGUAGGCAUGAACACAACAAACAAAACACAAACAGGUCAAUGGCACACAACACUGUCCAGUGAAACCAGCUGUGGUCGGCUGUUUUUUCUUUUCUUUUCACCCCCCAGCCGCCCCCCCACCCCUUCUCUUCUCAGUACAUUUUUCACAUUUUUCCCUCUUGCAUCCUCUGAGCGUGUGCACACGUGUUACCCUGUUAUUUUCUGAGCGGAGGCCGAGUUCAUAAUUAAAAUGAACCAAAGCGUCCAUUUAACUUGAUUCACAUAUCACAAUUGCAAAACAUAAUAAUGCUUUGGUAGGGAGUGAAACCUCCUGGGUAAUCACACGUCUGUGUCCCACACACACACACACACACACACACACACACAUCUCACAGGGUCCGUUAUCCACGGUGGACCGUGGUGGCCAGGGAGGUUCCUCCAUGUUUUAUGUAAAUCUGCUCAUCGCAGAGUGCGCGCUGAUAAGAUAAGUCCACAAAAGGAAGAGCGAACAAGCAGCUCUCUCUCCUCCGAGGAAUGUGUUCCCCAAUUGCAGGAGGUUCAUCUACAUUUUUUUAAUACCCAGUCAGUGAUGUCACUUUAUUUCUGUGCCACUGAUUCCCAGGAGAAACCCAUGGCCCGCUUCCAAACCCAGCGUAAUUUUCAAAAUAUGAAUUGAGGUAUAGGGUCUAGAUGACUUCACUUAGCUCCAUAUGUCCUGCUGUGCCAACGCUAGUCUGCGUGUGUGUGUGUGUGUGAGAGAGAGAGAGAGAGAGAGCACUGAGGGACAGAAAGACACAGAAAACAAGUGUUAGAAAAGGAAAAUAUCCCACCGUAGACAAAUAUAUCAGACUCAGUCCCACAUGAGUAAUCAUCAACCUUUGACACGAUACAGUGGUGUGAAUAUUUUACAGCUCUUCAGGCGGGCUCAAAAUAGCUACAUCAUGAAAAAUGUUUCGUUUUCGUGGCAUGUGAAACAAAUGCUGGUUGCUACAUCCACGCACAGCAGCACGGCUACAGUAAAGGGAAACAUGCACAAUACACUUAAGCCCCUGUACAGCUCUAUACGUCAUGGUCGUGUAAAAACUGGUGUCCGACUGCAGCGCCACAACCAAAACAACGAACUGUAGUUGGCGACAUUUGCCUUGCAUAGCCCAGUGAUCGCUCCGUUAGGAAAGGGUUUUUUUUUUUUUUCCAGACCUCAGUGAAACUGCCUUUCGUACAGAGGUUCAAACGGACCCUCCCCACCGACGGAAAUGAAACGUCUCUCGUCCCCAAGGUAAAACCAAAGCAGAAAUUUAAUUGCUCUUUUUCUAUUGAGAAUUUCAGCUUAGGAGACAAUUAGAAUUAAUUGGAUGUCGUCACACCGUUUUAGAACUCUACAUACACAGUGUUAGGCAUUUCCCCUUUUAUUUUCCUGUAAUAAUUGGGUUGAUGGUUUAACCCCCUCCCCACCCUCACUACCAUCAUAUUAGAGCCUUAACUAGUGUAGUAUAAAGAAGGAAAUAUAUUACUAUUACUUCAUGUGUCAUAAGGAGUAUACUCUGUUCAUCAGCUGGGAGUUUUCUCUUGCUGAAUUUUCAGUUAUUUCUUCAUUUUAAUUUAAAAAAUAAAACUUGCACAAUUAUUAGUUGGCUAGCCAUAUCGUCAACACGGGAGGUUAUUGCUAGUCCACUGCUAGUUUAGCCUGUACCAGCAAUCUCCACUCAUUUGGCAGGACGACACACUCUAUAAUAGCAUCAUCUGCAGGUGAGGACAGGAGCUACAUGAUCUGUAGAAAAUACCAAAAUAGACACUGCACAUUAUGUGUUGAAAUUGCAAAACAAAGCCGUACGUGUGUGAAUGCAAAUCAGUCAGGGGAUAAUGUACACUUUUUACUGUGACAUGAUGAAAACAAACAGUGGUCGACAGUGAUGGUAUUAGAACACUGAGGUGGGCUGGGCAGAAUGACUCUACGUCAACUCAGCUGACGACCCUGGGCUUUGGCUUGGUUUCCACAAGUGUCAGAUUUAAACCUAGAAAUGGACAAACUAGUGGUAUGUUUGAGAAAGUGCAUCAUGGGAAUCCUAUUCUCCACUGUGUUGGGUUAUAAUUAUCUAUGCAUUACAUUACAGUGAAUCAAUAACGUCGUCCCUGUGGGGAUUGUCCGUAGGUUAGCGGUCGCUCAGCCUUCUCUCGGCUUCUCAUUUGGGCAGGAGCUAAUGGCACUUGACACUUUAAAGAUGCGACGGCUUUAAAGUGUUCAUAAAGGACAAUAUCUGUCUCACUAAAAUCCUAAGAGAAGUUGAUGAAUCGAAGGCUGUAUGAUCCUCACAACGCUUUACACGCAACUGGCCAAGGUUGAGAGGACAGGACAGAGAAAUAUGUCGUGUCACGUCAGACUAAUAAUUUGGCAUCUGGUUGUUGAUGGGCGGACGCACUCAAAGUCUAAAAAGGUUAAAGUGUGCACCUACAUUUUCAUACACUAGUGUUUGUUUGUAAAAUUACAGUAAAAUUAUGAAACCCCUCCUUAAGAGAUCUCUAUUUUGGUUGAUAAUAUUCAAGUAGGGCUAAGUAGCUGCUAACAAUUUAAGGUAGACUGUGAAAGUGCUUCCUUAAAUGAAAGUGUAAAACCAUCCAGUGUAUGGUGGUGUUUUCUGCAGCCCCCACCAUGUGUCUUUGUCAAUGGUUAGAAAAAAAAAGGCAGCAAUGCAAUACAAAGAAUGCAGAGCUGGAAAGUGAAGUGAGGAGCUGCAGUGCGGCCUGGAUCACCGCUCAGGGAUCGGCUUCGCUUUUGCAAGUCGUAAAUCUGGAAAUGAAACUUUUAUUUUUAUGUUGCAGGAUGCAGGUUAUUUGAGGCGAGAAUGUUGUACAUUUUUUCUGGUUUUGUUUCUCGUGUUAAAAUAGGGCACAAUUAUUUUUUCUACAGACCUGAAUACUCACCAUAAGAUCACAGGGAGCUAAAACCCUGGUUAGGGUUUUUUUUUAAUUGUACUAAUGUUAAUCAUUGCAUGGAUCAGGAAACUCCAACUGUGAGCAUACUUGACCCCAGAACCAAUAAUCAAUGACCAGACAACGGUGCAGCCUGAGCCAUGAGUGGGAUCCAGGUUUGAUAUAAACGCAUGGGAAUGUGAAUUCUUCCUGUUCGUCUGUGGAGAAUCAGAGGUCCAGUUUCAAUGAGACUAUAACACAAUAUUAUUGCUUUCUGUGUUGUGGAGAACACGGAGCCAGUUCAAACCCACAGGUACAAACAGAGGCUGACAUCUUCAGCAGUGGAACUAAUGUGAUCGAUACAGUGACACUUGACUGAGCGCACAACUUAAAUGAAAGUGGUUUAAAAAAAAAAAAGCAAAGCCGCUACAGUAUAUAGCAUACAGGACCAUGAAAC
This is a long non-coding RNA of Cynoglossus semilaevis (tongue sole), 4759 nucleotides long. RefSeq lists it as uncharacterized. The record is from RefSeq and is a predicted model, not a curated record. The transcript has 2 exons. Lineage: Eukaryota; Metazoa; Chordata; Actinopteri; Pleuronectiformes; Cynoglossidae.